GUUAAGAUGGAUGUCUAGUAUUAUGAUAAUGGAUAAAAUUAGGAUUAACCACAUCCACCAAAGAGUACUUGUAGCACAUAUUAGAGAUAAAAUGAUAACAUUGAUUAAGAUGAUUUGGUCAUGUGCAACAUAGAGAAUCAAUUGCUCCUAUACAGAAAUUUGAUAAAUUAGUGGUGCAAGGAGUGAGGAGGAAAAGGGGGAGACAUAAAAUGAGAGAAAUAGUUUCAAAAGAUUUACAAUCCUUUAAUAUUAAAGUAGAAUUAAUCUCAAAUGGAGUUGAAUGGCAAAAAAAAUUCAUAUAGUCGACCCCAAUUAAUUUCGGAUUAAAACUUAGUUGUUGUUCUAUAAUGCUUCUCAUUAUACUAGUUGGAAUUUCUGCUCUCUUAGUACUAGGAGACAGAAAAAAAAAAUUCAAUAAAUUCAGGAAAACUAGCCAGACAUGUGGUUUAGGUAGACAUAUCUCUCCUCCAACUCAACUAAGGGUGUUAGCUAGUGUUAUCCAUAAAAUACGCGAGGCAUGUAAUAAAAGGUUUUGAUACAAUACGACUAUAUAAUUGAUACUAUGCAUUUUGUUUCUGCUUGUGAAAGUUGAAAUGUACCUCCAAUCCAGGGACGGAGGGACAUAGAGAAUCAAUUA
RNAcentral lists this unclassified non-coding RNA (637 nucleotides) under Hevea brasiliensis (rubber tree). The record is from RNAcentral. Lineage: Eukaryota; Viridiplantae; Streptophyta; Magnoliopsida; Malpighiales; Euphorbiaceae.